AGGUGGAGCAAAACUCAAAAACUUGUCUCAGUUCGGAUCGCAGGCUGCAACCCGCCUGCGUGAAGUUGGAAUCGCUAGUAAUCGCGGAUCAGCAUGCCGCGGUGAAUACGUUCCCGGGCCUUGUACACACCGCCCGUCACACCAUGAGAGUCGGGAACACCCGAAGUCCGUAGCCUAACCGCAAGGGGGGCGCGGCCGAAGGUGGGUUCGAUAAUUGGGGUGAAGUCGUAACAAGGUAAC
This 240-nucleotide ribosomal RNA is filed under the name uncultured bacterium. RNAcentral's name for it is "partial 16S ribosomal RNA". It matches the Rfam family "Bacterial small subunit ribosomal RNA", at positions 1260 to 1500 of the family's 1533-position model. The record is from RNAcentral.